RNAcentral lists this ribosomal RNA (445 nucleotides) under uncultured bacterium. RNAcentral describes it as "partial 16S ribosomal RNA". It matches the Rfam family "Bacterial small subunit ribosomal RNA", at positions 354 to 796 of the family's 1533-position model. The record is from RNAcentral.
GUGAGGAAUAUUGGUCAAUGGGCGAGAGCCUGAACCAGCCAAGUCGCGUGAAGGAUGAAGGUUUUAUGAAUUGUAAACUUCUUUUGCAGGGGAAUAAAGUGCGGGACGUGUCCUGUUUUGUAUGUACCCUGAGAAUAAGGAUCGGCUAACUCCGUGCCAGCAGCCGCGGUAAUACGGAGGAUCCGAGCGUUAUCCGGAUUUAUUGGGUUUAAAGGGUGCGUAGGUGGUUUGAUAAGUCAGCGGUGAAAGUUUGCAGCUUAACUGUAAAAAUGCCGUUGAAACUGUCGGACUUGAGUGUAAAUGAGGUAGGCGGAAUGCGUGGUGUAGCGGUGAAAUGCAUAGAUAUCACGCAGAACUCCGAUUGCGAAGGCAGCUUACUAAGCUACAACUGACACUGAAGCACGAAAGCGUGGGGAUCAAACAGGAUUAGAAACCCUGGUAGUCC